This 875-nucleotide ribosomal RNA is filed under the name uncultured bacterium. RNAcentral's name for it is "bacterial SSU rRNA". It matches the Rfam family "Bacterial small subunit ribosomal RNA", at positions 56 to 941 of the family's 1533-position model. The record is from RNAcentral.
UGCAGUCGAACGAUGAAGCCCAGCUUGCUGGGUGGAUUAGUGGCGAACGGGUGAGUAACACGUGAGUAACCUGCCCCUGACUCUGGGAUAAGCGCUGGAAACGGCGUCUAAUACCGGAUAUGACCUAUCCUCGCAUGAGGGUGGGUGGAAAGUUUUUCGGUUGGGGAUGGACUCGCGGCCUAUCAGCUUGUUGGUGAGGUAAUGGCUCACCAAGGCGACGACGGGUAGCCGGCCUGAGAGGGUGACCGGCCACACUGGGACUGAGACACGGCCCAGACUCCUACGGGAGGCAGCAGUGGGGAAUAUUGCACAAUGGGCGAAAGCCUGAUGCAGCAACGUCGCGUGAGGGAUGACGGCCUUCGGGUUGUAAACCUCUUUUAGUAGGGAAGAAGGGCUUCGGCUUGACGGUACCUGCAGAAAAAGCACCGGCUAACUACGUGCCAGCAGCCGCGGUAAUACGUAGGGUGCGAGCGUUGUCCGAAAUUAUUGGGCGUAAAGAGCUCGUAGGCGGUUUGUCGCGUCUGCUGUGAAAACCCGAGGCUCAACCUCGGGCCUGCAGUGGGUACGGGCAGACUUGAGUGCGGUAGGGGAGAAUGGAAUCCCUGGUGUAGCGGUGGAAUGCGCAGAUAUCAGGAGGAACACCGAUGGCGAAGGCAGUUCUCUGGGCCGUAACUGACGCUGANGAGCGAAAGCGUGGGGAGCGAACAGGAUUAGAUACCCUGGUAGUCCACGCCGUAAACGUUGGGCGCUAGAUGUGGGGANCUUUCCACGGUUUCCGUGUCGUANCUAACGCAUUAAGCGCCCCGCCUGGGGAGUACGGCCGCANGGCUAAAACUCAAANGAAUUGANGGGGCCCGCACAAGCGGCGNANCAUG